ACUCAAAUGAAUUGACGGGGGCCCGCACAAGCAGCGGAGCGUGUGGUUUAAUUCGACGCAACGCGAAGCACCUCACCCAGGUUUGACAUGACCCUGCACCCGCACGAAAGUGCGCUCCUUCGAGGGUGGGUCACAGAUGCUGCAUGGCUGUCGUCAGCUCGUGUCGUGAGAUGUUGGGUUCAGUCCCGCAACGAGCGCAACCCCUACGCUGAGUUACCGGUGUCUCAGCGAACAGCCGCCCGCGAGGGCGGAGGAAGGCGGGGAUGACGUCAAGUCCGCAUGGCUCUUACGCCUGGGGCGACACACACGCUACAAUGACUAGCGCAGCGCGCUGCGAGCUGGUAACAGCAAGCUAAUCGUCAAGGCUAGUCUCAGUGCAGAUCGGGGGCUGCAACUCGCCCCCGUGAAGGCGGAGUUGCUAGUAACCGCGUAUCAGCCACGGCGCGGUGAAUACGUACCCGGGCCUUGUACACACCGCCCGU
This 482-nucleotide ribosomal RNA is filed under the name uncultured bacterium. RNAcentral describes it as "partial 16S ribosomal RNA". It matches the Rfam family "Bacterial small subunit ribosomal RNA", at positions 899 to 1397 of the family's 1533-position model. The record is from RNAcentral.